GCAAGCUUGUGUGUUGUCACACUGUGGAGGUCACACAGCUUGAAUCUCAUAGGUCUCAGGUUGGUCAUCUUUCUGAUCUGGACCACCACUGGUGAUGGCUCACCAUUGAUAGCUAUGUCUCCUCUCUCUGUUUAUUCACUCUAGGUCAAGGGGGAGAGUUUGAGAGGUGGGAGGGACCUUAAAGAUGCCUCAUUUUACAGAGAAGUGUCAGCAGUUAUGUUUGAGUCCCCACCAUGACUGUUCUACCUCAUUCCUUGGUUGAUUUUGGGAAGUCAGUCUAUCUAAGCUUCAGUGUCCUCAGAGGGAAUAUUGCUUAGUUAACUACUAAAGAUUCUUGUAAGGAAAAUAUUGAAAACAAAGUGCUUUAGGAAUGGGAGUCAUUUGUAGUGCUACAGAUAAGAAAACUAAGGCCCAGUGUCUAAUCUGUCAUGUCUUCUCCUUUUGGACCAACAUCUUUACCACCUGAUGCAGCUAGACAAUUAUGGCCAGGUUAUCAAGAAAACUUAGUUGCACUCGACCCAUUUUCUUCCUCUGAAAAAUGGGAAUAAUAAUGCUCACAAGUGCUCACCUCACUGGUUGGAAGAAGGCUCAAGUGAUUUACAAAUACUAAAUGCUUUGUCGCAUAUUUGUAGUAGAAGAAGGAAUCAAACAAAGUUGGUGGCUGUCCAAGCCUCCAUCUUCCCUCUCAUUUUUCUUCAUUUCCUUUUUGUCAGCUUAUCUCUCCCCAUUAGGUUUUCUUUUUUCCUUUAUGUUUGGGAGAUUGAUUGAGAUUUAAACUUCCCCUUCCUCAUUUAUCAAACUACAAGAGCAGACUCCAGGGAGACAUGAUACUUGUCUUCACAUCUUUGAAGGGCUGUCUUUGUAGGAAAAAAAGGCUACGUUUCCCCGUCUCUCCCAGGCUAGAAGUGCAGAAGCCGAUCCUAUUGUUGCUCCACAUGGUCGUUUUGUCCCAUUCCUGGGGAAGGGGAGUAUCACCAUAUUGGUGUCAGACUUAGUAUGGAUGCACAAUCAGCUUUAGCCCUACUCUAUGUGGAACUCCCAAGCUUGGGCAAUCUACCCACCUCAGCCUCCUCUGGAGUCAAGUUUGCAUCACCAUGCUUGCCAAGAGGAAGGAUAAAAUGGGAAAUGUAGUUGAUGUUAAAAACAAAAGACAUAAGAAGAUGA
Molecule: long non-coding RNA, 1164 nt
Organism: Monodelphis domestica (gray short-tailed opossum)
Lineage: Eukaryota; Metazoa; Chordata; Mammalia; Didelphimorphia; Didelphidae
Source: RefSeq, a predicted model, not a curated record